GGUGUCGAUUGACACCUACGUGAA
Molecule: non-coding RNA, 24 nt
Filed under: Arabidopsis thaliana (thale cress)
Lineage: Eukaryota; Viridiplantae; Streptophyta; Magnoliopsida; Brassicales; Brassicaceae
Source: RNAcentral